RNAcentral lists this ribosomal RNA (499 nucleotides) under Priestia megaterium. RNAcentral describes it as "bacterial SSU rRNA". It matches the Rfam family "Bacterial small subunit ribosomal RNA", at positions 381 to 873 of the family's 1533-position model. Lineage: Bacteria; Bacillati; Bacillota; Bacilli; Caryophanales; Bacillaceae. The record is from RNAcentral.
GUCUGACGGAGCACGCCGCGUGAGUGAUGAAGGCUUUCGGGUCGUAAAACUCUGUUGUUAGGGAAGAACAAGUACGAGAGUAACUGCUCGUACCUUGACGGUACCUAACCAGAAAGCCACGGCUAACUACGUGCCAGCAGCCGCGGUAAUACGUAGGUGGCAAGCGUUAUCCGGAAUUAUUGGGCGUAAAGCGCGCGCAGGCGGUUUCUUAAGUCUGAUGUGAAAGCCCACGGCUCAACCGUGGAGGGUCAUUGGAAACUGGGGAACUUGAGUGCAGAAGAGAAAAGCGGAAUUCCACGUGUAGCGGUGAAAUGCGUAGAGAUGUGGAGGAACACCAGUGGCGAAGGCGGCUUUUUGGUCUGUAACUGACGCUGAGGCGCGAAAGCGUGGGGAGCAAACAGGAUUAGAUACCCUGGUAGUCCACGCCGUAAACGAUGAGUGCUAAGUGUUAGAGGGUUUCCGCCCUUUAGUGCUGCAGCUAACGCAUUAACACUCCGCC